UGGGGAAUAUUGCACAAUGGGCGCAAGCCUGAUGCAGCCAUGCCGCGUGUGUGAAGAAGGCCUUCGGGUUGUAAAGCACUUUCAGCGAGGAGGAAGGCGUUAAGGUUAAUAACCUUAGCGAUUGACGUUACUCGCAGAAGAAGCACCGGCUAACUCCGUGCCAGCAGCCGCGGUAAUACGGAGGGUGCAAGCGUUAAUCGGAAUUACUGGGCGUAAAGCGCACGCAGGCGGUUUGUUAAGUCAGAUGUGAAAUCCCCGAGCUUAACUUGGGAACUGCAUUUGAAACUGGCAAGCCAGAGUCUUGUAGAGGGGGGUAGAAUUCCAGGUGUAGCGGUGAAAUGCGUGGAGAUCUGGAGGAAUACCGGUGGCGAAGGCGGCCCCCUGGACAAAGACUGACGCUCAGGUGCGAAAGCGCUGGG
This 419-nucleotide ribosomal RNA is filed under the name uncultured bacterium. Its description in RNAcentral is "partial 16S ribosomal RNA". It matches the Rfam family "Bacterial small subunit ribosomal RNA", at positions 355 to 766 of the family's 1533-position model. The record is from RNAcentral.